Molecule: ribosomal RNA, 425 nt
Filed under: uncultured bacterium
Lineage: Bacteria
Description: partial 16S ribosomal RNA
Rfam family: Bacterial small subunit ribosomal RNA
Source: RNAcentral
GUGGGGAAUCUUAGACAAUGGGCGCAAGCCUGAUCUAGCCAUGCCGCGUGAGCGAUGAAGGCCUUAGGGUUGUAAAGCUCUUUCGCUGGGGUAGAUAAUGACUGUACCCAGUAAAGAAGCCCCGGCUAACUCCGUGCCAGCAGCCGCGGUAAUACGGAGGGGGCUAGCGUUGUUCGGAAUUACUGGGCGUAAAGCGCGCGUAGGCGGAUUGGAAAGUUGGGGGUGAAAUCCCGGGGCUCAACCUCGGAACUGCCUUCAAAACUCCCAGUCUUGAGUUCGAGAGAGGUGAGUGGAAUUCCGAGUGUAGAGGUGAAAUUCGUAGAUAUUCGGAGGAACACCAGUGGCGAAGGCGGCUCACUGGCUCGAUACUGACGCUGAGGUGCGAAAGCGUGGGGAGCAAACAGGAUUAGAAACCCUGGUAGUCC